AGUCUCACAAAACGUCCGGAGUGCGCGACGCCUGCGCGGGUAGAAGGCCUGCCUCCAGCGAACGAUCCCAUCGCCGCUCCAGGCGUAUCAGGUGCUGCUGUGUCGGAGCCCGUAGUGAGCCCAGGGUCAGAGAGAAGAAGAAAACGGGCUGAAGAGAGGUUGAGGAGGAGCAGGGGACAGAGCCAAACAGCUGAUUUAUCUGCUGCAAACCGUGUG
Melanotaenia boesemani (Boeseman's rainbowfish) is the source of this 216-nucleotide long non-coding RNA. RefSeq lists it as uncharacterized. The transcript is spliced from 3 exons. Lineage: Eukaryota; Metazoa; Chordata; Actinopteri; Atheriniformes; Melanotaeniidae. The record is from RefSeq and is a predicted model, not a curated record.